Molecule: transfer RNA, 86 nt
Filed under: Danio rerio (zebrafish)
Lineage: Eukaryota; Metazoa; Chordata; Actinopteri; Cypriniformes; Danionidae
Description: tRNA-Leu (TAA) (tRNA-Leu-TAA-27-1)
Rfam family: tRNA
About the family: Transfer RNA (tRNA) molecules are approximately 80 nucleotides in length. Their secondary structure includes four short double-helical elements and three loops (D, anti-codon, and T loops).
Source: RNAcentral
GUAGUCGUGGCCGGGUGGUUAAGGCGAUGGACUUAAAAUCCAUUGGGGUCUCCCUGCGCAGGUUCAAAUCCUGCCGACUAGGUCCA